This 113-nucleotide microRNA precursor is filed under the name Trifolium pratense (red clover). Its description in RNAcentral is "pre miRNA mir-399". Lineage: Eukaryota; Viridiplantae; Streptophyta; Magnoliopsida; Fabales; Fabaceae. The record is from RNAcentral.
AAAUUAGUCUUAGGGCAAGUCUCUAUUGGCAGGUGCUAUGAUGAUAUUUCAUUUGAUUAAUUAAGAGAUUUGGAUAUUCAUUUGCCAAAGGAGAGCUGCCCUAUGAUUGUUUA